CUUGUGUAUAAAUGUAAGGGUAAUACUGCUUUGAAUUAAACUUCUAAAGAAUAAAAGUUCUAAAGUGCAAGAAAAACGAUGGUUACGAAAUGUGUUAGAAAACAUACGGUGGUAAUUAUGGAAUUGCUUAUCCUUUUUGUCCUUGACGUGCAAGCCAAUAACAUUCCCCCUACCUCAUUCUCUUCAUCUUUACCUCCCACCAUGCUUCCGUAUUCCUUUGAAUUUGAUGAGGCCAAAGGUACAAUGCAAAAAUGCCUUACAGAUAGAGCUAAAGGUUGUUUACGUUAUAGAAGAAUAUGGCCAUUUCCUAACAUUAAAUACGAAAUUUGUGUUCUUGAUACUUUUUGGAAAUGCUUCUUUCAUAUGAGAGUUUUUGAGGAGCGAAUUACAGGUAAUAGAAUUUUGAAUUGUGUCAAUACCAAUUGCUACUCGCGAAUGAGAAUGAUACACAUUCAUGCAAGAUCCCGUUUUAUGAGUUGUGUAUUGGAAUGUUGUGAAGAGAAUAUGGAGAGGCACUGAGAUGCAAUUUAUAUGCAAAAUCCUUAAGUUGCAACUGUUGAUCUGAUGGUGUUGGGGAUCAAGGGAAUUAGGCAACUUGAGCUUUUGGUCCAGGCAGAUGGUCAAGUUAGUAGUAAGGAAUAAAUCAUGAAAAUUUAAUGUAUUGUUUGGCUAUGAAAUUAUCUUAUAGUUAUAUUUUUGUUGAAAUUCUAAAUUGGAUCAAGGUGCAUGCAAACCUUAUUACUUUUACAUUUUGAAGUUAUAAUUUGUGAUGAAUUUUGCUAUGGUUAAUUUAUAUGGUACUUUGUUUCCUUUGCACAAUAAACAUGUAAGAUCACUUGCUUAUCCCUCAUGGGAUCCGAGUGUGAGAAUUCCAUA
Long non-coding RNA from Alnus glutinosa, 876 nucleotides. RefSeq lists it as uncharacterized. The record is from RefSeq and is a predicted model, not a curated record. The transcript has 2 exons. Lineage: Eukaryota; Viridiplantae; Streptophyta; Magnoliopsida; Fagales; Betulaceae.